GCUAAAAAUUCCCUUCAGUAUAGAAGAAACUUUUGUAUCAUCAAUUUAACAUUUUUGCUCUGGAAUAUAUCUUCUGUCUUUUUUGUCAAUGAAUCGGUCUCAUGUUCUUAUUUUGCAGAUCCAUGCCAUGUUUGAUUUGGGUUAUCUGUGGAGAUUUCAUCUACGACAAAGUCAUAAAUUUGGUUACAGUACAUUUUAUGUAGAGGACUGAAACUGAACUAUUUUUAAUUAUGCUAUUGAAUAAUUAUCUGUUAGACCAAUCUUUGUUGAAUCUCCAUUUGAAUAUAUUUUGAACUUUGAUCUGAACUUAAUAGCUUGAUCUUUUUGCUUAGCAUACUGAAUAUUUGCCACCAUAUUCUUCUUUAAGAGUGGGUUAGUGCAAGUUGUUACCUUUUUGUUUAUGGGAUCAAAAUUUAUAUCUUUUGUUUGAUACUAAUUAUAUCUAGAUGAAAGGUCAAUUUGUAGUUUAUUACUUUACUUUCUUUGACAAAAUGAAAAGUCACAAGAAAAUUAUAUAUUUGAAGUUUGGUUUCUGAUCUUACUUUUCUUGAAAGACUAAUUUGUAGUUUAUUUUACUAUUUUAAUUAAUUUCCAAAAUUUUUAUUUAAAUUUUUUGUAAAAGUUAUUUGUUUAUCUGAUCAUUUGUUACAAAUGAAUGUGCCUUCAAGAAUUAGCACGUAAGAGGGAGAGAGAAUUUUUUAAGCAUUUUAAAACAUGAAUAUGUGAAUUAUGAAGUACUUCAGUAUAUCAGUGCUUUUUUUUUGUUUUAAUUGGAUACCUUUUUGGCUUUACUAUGUUUAUUGAUAUGCUAUUCAUUUCGAAUUGGAUGAUGAUGCUAAUGGGUCAUUUAACAAUCCAUCUUAGUUCUCUUUCUCUUUAAUGUUUUUUUUUUAUUGCAUUAUGUGUUGCUCAUUGAGUAGAGGAAGAUGGUCAGUAUUUAUUAUGUGCUUUCUGCAUAAAGCAUAUGGUUUUCUCUUGGUUUUAAAAUUUCUUUCUUAGCACGUAUAUCUGAUUUUUUAUUUUUUUAUUUCUAACAAGUUCUUUAUGUCUGCUGUCAUAAUAUUUUAGUCUGGAAGUCAUUUUUAAAAUUCCAUUCAUUCUUAUGAUUGGGAAUAUCACAAUGAGCAGCACUGAAGCAUUAAAAGCAGAAUUAUGUGAAAAGGCAUUAAUAAUAACUCAUUAUUAUCGUAAUUUGCAAUGGUCAGCAUUAAACUUUUAAUUAAGGUGAGGAGAUAGAUUUGCUGAUAGAUAAAUGUCUUAUACGAUGAUCUUUUCCUUUUUAAAGCAUUUUAUGGUGGCAUUAACACUCUUUAAAUUGACAUUUGUUAUUUAAGUUUGAUGUUUUUUCAUUCCUUUAACAAUUGAUAAAUAAUAGAUGAGACUAUUGGAUAGCAAAACCAAUCUUUGGUCUAACUUUUAAUUUCCGGCAUUAACACUCUUUAAAUUGACAUUUGUCAUUUAAAUUUGAUAUUUUUCCAUUCCUUUAACAAUUCAUAAAUAAUAGAAGGGACUAUUGGACAUCAAGACCAAUCAUUGGUCUAACUUUUAAUUUCUAACAUUAAAUGUUUCAUAAAUAUAUUAAUUCAUUAAUAUAACUUAACCAUCUGUAAUUUAUUGUUCAAUCUUAUUUGGUAACAAAGGAUAAAGAGAGCGGCGGUGUUCUAUUGUUCUAAUAAUUCCACCAUUUUUUUUUGAACGGAAGAGCUCAACACAACAAGUGGAGCAUAGGAAAAACGAAGAAGACACAACUAGUAAAAGUACAUUAUAAAAACUAAAUGAUCCCCACUGUCAUCUUCGGCAUUGCCAUCAACAACAGAAGGGAUCCACACCUAUCCACUCCUUAUAGUGCAUGGAGGACUGGUAGAUGAUAUCUUCAACCCCUUUUCCUUUAUUCUGAAAAAUCCACAUAUUCCUUUCCAGCCAAAUAUUCCAGAUAAUGGUACAGAAACAUACCAUCCACCUCUUGCGCUCCUGUUUACUAGUUGAUACCUCAGUCCAACUUUGAAAAUGCUCCUUUAGCGUUCCCGGGCAUGACCAUGGCCUCCCAGCAAAACUUAGUCAUGCACACCACACCUGCCAUGAAAAUCCACAACUAAGAAACAAGUGGUAUCCAGAUUCAAUACUUUCAUUACACAGCACACAGACAACAUCCUCCUGGUUAACCACUCCUAGUCGACUCAGCCUUUCUUUCGUAUUAACCCUUCUAGUCAAGACAAACCAUAUGAACAAUUCAACUCUAGGUGGGACUAAGUCCUUCCAAACUAUUCUAGUAAAACUGUAUCUCGCUAUAUCCUCUGGAAGCAUUUCCACCUGCAUAACCUGCACAAAGGAAUUAGUAGAAAAUACAUCUUGUUUAUCAAAUUUUCACACAACUCUGUCCUCUCUCCCAUAUACUAAAUUAACCAGUCUUAAAGUUUCAUGCAACUGGUUGACUAAGUCCAACUCCCAUUGGAAUAGCUCUCGCCUCCAUUGGAAGUUCCAUCUCCACUCUAACCCGUCCCAAAACCCACAGUCCCAUGACAGAUCCUCUUUGGUUUGAAACUGAGAAGAGUCUUGGAAAGAGAUCUUUCAGGGUCCCAUCACGCAACCAUACAUCCUCCCAGAAUCGAGUUCCUCUCCCGUCGCCAAUCUCCAUAGACAGUCCAUUGAUCAUUUUCUGUUUUAGUCGUUGAUCCUUGAACUGUAGCUGGCAUAUAUCUUUCCAUGGCCCCCCGGAUAGGUAGCACCUGGGAUGACAACAUCACAUUGGGGUUGAGGUUGUUACAAGAGCAUACUACCUUCUUCCAUAAGGGGCAAUCCUCCUUCGAAAACCGCCACCACCAUUUAAAGAGCAGGGCUGUGUUACGCACCAUGGCAUCACCAACACCUAACCCUCCUAGCUUUUUGGGGGUCUGAACCACCUCCCAUCUAACCAUUGCCAUACCAAGCCUACCAUCCUCUUUACUCCAUAGGAAUCUUCUCUGUAAGGAAAUCAGUUUUUCUGCAACAGCCUUUGGCAUUUUAUACAAACUCAAAUAAUAGACUGGCAGACUAUUCAAAACAGAUUUAAUCAGCACCAGUUUACCAGCUUUAUUUAGAAUCUUGGCCUUCCAAAUGCUCAACUUCUGCUCCACCUUGUCUAUAAUGGGCUUCCAAAUCCUUAUCUUGACCGUCAUAGAAGAAUUGUUUUAUUUUUUGCUUAGUAGAUAGUCGACAUAACGACAUUGUUUAAUUCCAUGAAUUAAUUCUAAUUGCUUAAAUUUAUUAUUUGCUUUAAUUUCUUUCUUCUUUUGGUUUUAAUUAUUUGUUAUGUGAUCAUAAUUGAUGUGAUUUAGUGUUUCAGUGUUAUCAUGUUUGUGUAUAUGCAAAAUGGGAUGAAAAUUUGUGUUCAUCAGUGAUGUUUUUACUGGACUGAGUGAAAAAAAAAAAGAAAAACAAUUAAGCUCUUUCAUUUCCUUUUUUGCAGCUUCGAUACUUCUAUAAGCAGCCACCACUAUGUGGAAACUUAGUCCAUAGUGUGCAUAAUUUAAUUAUAAGAUUUUCUUCCUAAAAUUUCUGCAGUUACAAUUGGUUUAGACAAUUCUUAGGCCUAUGUUAUGGAACUUCACGAAACUACUUGGAUUUUUAGGCUGAAAAUAGAGAAAACAAAUGCUUAUUCCACAGGCUGUUAUUUUUUUCUCAUGAAGUUUUCUCUUAUAUUAAGAUAAAUUCCUCUUCUAUUUAUGUUGUGUUUAUGUUAAACAAACUUGCCGCAAAAAAUGCCACCAUGUAUCUGUGAAUUUUCAGGUUCAUAUGUUUUCUACAGAGAAUGGAGUAUGUGUUGCAUGGAGUCAUUGCUUUGAGAAUAAUGACUGCUGGUGGUAUACUCUCAGGAGUGUAUCUAGCAUCACAUGUUUUACAGAUUAAGAAGCAAGGUGAUUCUGCUGAUUUAAUUGUCACACUUCAAACUAUGACAAGAUAAUUGUUUUAAGUAGAAUUAUGUAAUUCCUUUUUUCGUUAAACAAAAUUUUGGCCAUUGUCUUAAAGCAUGAUUUUUUUUUAAUUUUCAAUUUCUGUAGAAUUUAUUUUUCUUUUGGCUUAAAAAUAUUUUAAGAGUUUAGCUAAAAAGUGUAUUAAGGGUAGUUGUUAAAUUUACAAGUCCUAAAACUUAAUUUUAUUUUAAUAAAUGUAUUACAAACUUCAAGUCUACAAAAUUGUCCACAAAGAUUAUUUUUUCUGUCACCACCUUAACAUUUAAUAGAAACAAAUUAAUUGUGAGAUCAAAAUCAUUCUUCUUGAGUUGUUUUUGUAUCAAAAUUUGAAUAAAUAUGAUCAAUUACAUGAACUAUAUACAAAUUUUAUGAAAUCUAGAAAAUUUAUUAAAUAUUUUUUGUUUUGUGGUUAACUUCAAUAAGCAGGUUAAACCCUAGAAUUUGAAGCUUCUUGAGUUUGAAAUUUGAUCUUAGCAAGCUUAAACUCUAACCAUUAUGACUGGAGUUACUCCAGUAGCACUAUAAGUCUUUUUUUAAAGGUGGUUAUUAAGGUGUUGAUGUCCAAGAAGUAAAUACAUUAUCUUUUUUAUACAAUGUUGCUAAUUAAAUAAGGUGGUUAUUAUUUUGACAAUCUAAAAGUUUCUCCAAUAAUUUCUGUGAUACUGAAAUGGAUGCUGAAAUGGUUGCUCAUACUGGAGGUUACCAUUGCAAGAGUGCGAGGUGGGACGUGGUUGUUCCUUCAGGUGUUGGUUCCUGAUAAUGCAGUUGCC
Molecule: non-coding RNA, 4720 nt
Organism: Arachis ipaensis
Lineage: Eukaryota; Viridiplantae; Streptophyta; Magnoliopsida; Fabales; Fabaceae
Source: RefSeq, a predicted model, not a curated record